UUGGUCCACAGAUUUUCAAUUCCUCUCAAGAAAUGAAAAAAUAGGUACAAUUCGUUAGGAGGUAACCUGAUCUAAGUUAAAUUUUUAAAUUUCUCUCUUAAAAGAAUCCCUAAAACACCCUCCAACUUGAUCCUAAUCCCAUCUUUCAAAGCUGAGAAGGACCCCCCAUUCAUCCUCUAUAUAAGUAGCCUGCUGCUGAGGUGAAAGGGGUUGGGGAAAUUUUGAAUUCAGAAAAACUGAGGAAGGAAGAAAAAAGAAAGAAAUUCUUGGAGAAAAUUCAGUCUUUAGUAGAAAUUUUGUUCUUGUUUCGAAAGUUCGUCGGCUAAAUUAGAGUUUUGAGUAGACGGCGAAGAUAUUUUCUCGGUGGUUGCGAGAUCGACAUUAGCUCGAGGUUCCGUUUUGCUGCUUCCAAAUAGGUAAUAUCCUAUUCCGUUGAACUUUUGAUUGCUUCUACAUCAUCUCGGCCUUCUAUAGCUGUGAGUAAAUCUUUAGUAAUGUGUGUUGUUUACAGGUAGAUGGCUUUGAUAGCCGUAGGUUUCAUUUACGAUAGUUAUCGACGUGUUGAUAUUUGAAUCAACGUGUACGAUGCUACUGCUUACUCCUGUUGAGGAUAUAUUUUUCAUUAAAAUACUUUAAAUCCAUUAUUUUUAUCUAAGAAUUGUUCUUUCUUUUGAUUUAUGGCAUGUUAUAUGGUCUGAACAAUGUUGUUGAUGGGUUUUUGAUUUAAUACUCUCAUUUUUGUGUACUAUUUAAGGUCUGUACGGCUGAUCUUGUUAAAGUUUCAUGCCCUGCUAAUUUCGAUUUGAUGGUAGCUUGUUAUGGCUGAUUUCAUGGUGAAAAACUUCAUGUUUUAUUUAUUUUUGGGUUGAUGGUAGCUUGUUAUAUCUGAUUUUAUGUUAAAGUUUCGUGCUUUGAUCAUUUUGGGUUGAGGGUGACCUAUUACAGCUGAUCUUAUGUUAAAGUUUUGUGUUUCGUUAGUUUCGAGCCGAGGGUAUCCUAUUAUAACUAAUUUUAUGCUAAAGUUUUGUGCUUUGUUAGUUUCGGGUUGAUGAUGUCCUGUUAUAACUGGUUUAAUGUUAUAGUUUUGUGUUUUGUUUGUUUCGGGCUGAUGGUAUCUAGUUAGGGAAAAUUUCAAAAAUAGCAACUCUGUAGCCUUGAUUAUAACUUUUAUAGCAACAGUUUCAUAAUUACGAAAAAUAGCAAAUUGUAUUUGUAUUUAAGUAAAAUGUUGCUAUAUAAAUACAUAUACAAAUAUAUAUGUAUUACUCAUAAAUACAUAUGCACAACUGAAAAAUACAUAUUCUUCUAUUACUAUGAAGUGGGUAAAAUAUUGCUACUUUUGCUAUAAGUUGUAAUUUUAAAAAAGUGUUGUUAUUUAUUGUAAUUAUAGUCUUAAGGAUGCUAGUUUCUGUAAUUUUUUCAUUUAGUUAUGGCUUAUUUCGUGGUUAAAAGUCUCAUGUUUCAAUAAUUUCGGGCUGAUGGUGUCUUGUUCAUCGUUAGUAUUUGACGUCGUCUUGUUUGUUGUCAUUUGUUUGGUGUGAUGUUGAGCUUUUGUUGCAAGAUAUUGUUCUUCAUUUCAUUAAAGUUAUUUUCUUUAUUUUGGGCGUAGAGUAGGGAUAUAGUUUAGGUUAAAUCGGGUAAAUCUUUCUUUUACUAUUUAUAAGAAAAGCAUAUGAUGUCUAGAUUAUGUGUUGUUGUCGUAUAAGCUUGGUGGAGUUGAAUCCGUAUUAGGUUAAUGAGAAUUUUUUUGUCAAAUUUCAUUCAUUUUGUCUUAAUUCUUUCCUUGGGUCUUUUUCCAUGUCAUUGUUAUUAGACUAAUGAAUACAAAAAUGUAUUUGAUGUUCUGCAAAGCGCAGCUUCUAGAUUUUUCGUUAAAUAAAGGUUUUCUGCUUGUUAAAGGAAUUUAGUACUAUAUUGGUAUUGAUUGAACCAUUGAUUGUUAUAUUGCAGUGUUUGUAUAUUGAUUAAAACUCUUUCUAAAUUGUUUACAAUUGAUUUUAGUUUCUAGUUCUUAUAUUCCUUCAUCUUUUCUUUGCAUGAACCCGCUUGGGAGUCCAAACGACUUCUUUCCCUUUGCAUUUCAUAAUGGGCCAUUGAGGCCCAUCUUAUUGAGUCAAUCCUAAAGUGUAAACUCAACGUCGAUCGCGUGGCAAAUGAAUACAAGGAAUCGAAAGAAGAAGGAUGGGUUUAAGUUCCAUCUUUGAAGCGGAAAGAGGGACUUGAAAGUCUCGUUAUUUUUUUAUUUUUUUAUUUAUCCAUUGUUGCCU
Molecule: long non-coding RNA, 2267 nt
Filed under: Capsicum annuum
Lineage: Eukaryota; Viridiplantae; Streptophyta; Magnoliopsida; Solanales; Solanaceae
Description: long non-coding RNA (CANN_LNC009858)
Source: RNAcentral